Molecule: unclassified non-coding RNA, 686 nt
Filed under: Hevea brasiliensis (rubber tree)
Lineage: Eukaryota; Viridiplantae; Streptophyta; Magnoliopsida; Malpighiales; Euphorbiaceae
Source: RNAcentral
GAAUAACCAAGUACUUGUGAGAGAAUCUUGCCCACAGUGGUUUUUCCAGAGCCCAUCAUUCCAACAAGAUAUAUACAGCGUCCAUUUAUAUAAGGCCCAACCUCUUGUGACUUAUUCUUUAAAAUCAGAGAUUCAUCAGAUGAAGCAUGGAAACUUCCAGAUUCCAAUACUGAAGCUGGGGAGUUCUUGUAAGAACAAAAAACUUUCAAAGAAACCGUUCUAUGCCCAUUUUUAUUUCUCUUGGGCUGAAAAUCAGCCGAAACUAUCACUGGAAAUUUCUGUUUUUCCUUCAAUCUACUCGAACACCUCAAAGAACCGGUGGGAUACUUCCUGCAGAAUUUUUCCGAUUCGAUCCACGUACCAGAAGAUUGCAUUCUUUGCGCAAGAUUCGCAUUCAUUUCUCACAAAAAGAGCUAAUUUUCACUGCAACUAAAAAAAAAAAAAGCUUUUAACCAAUUUCUUAAUUCGCAGAACCAACUCUUUCAAUACCCAGAUCGAGAUUCUUCAGAGAAAGCAAAAGCAGAGUCUUUUUAACACCAGAAAAUUUUGAAGGAGGCUUGAAGCGAUGAAGGAGAAGCUUCGGUCUCUCUUUCUACGUCUUCUUGCUUCCACCGUUCCGUUUAUAAAGCGGUCGUUGGGUUCUGGGAGGAAAUACCUUAGCCCCAAUUUGACGUGCUGAAAUUUUA